AACGAGCGCUGGCGGCAUGCCUAACACAUGCAAGUCGAACGAGACCUUCGGGUCUAGUGGCGCACGGGUGCGUAACGCGUGGGAAUCUGCCCUUGGGUCCGGAAUAACAGUUGGAAACGACUGCUAAUACCGGAUGAUGACGUAAGUCCAAAGAUUUAUCGCCCAAGGAUGAGCCCGCGUAGGAUUAGCUAGUUGGUGAGGUAAAGGCUCACCAAGGCGACGAUCCUUAGCUGGUCUGAGAGGAUGAUCAGCCACACUGGGACUGAGACACGGCCCAGACUCCUACGGGAGGCAGCAGUGGGGAAUAUUGGACAAUGGGCGAAAGCCUGAUCCAGCAAUGCCGCGUGAGUGAUGAAGGCCUUAGGGUUGUAAAGCUCUUUUACCCGGGAUGAUAAUGACAGUACCGGGAGAAUAAGCUCCGGCUAACUCCGUG
RNAcentral lists this ribosomal RNA (433 nucleotides) under uncultured bacterium. Its description in RNAcentral is "partial 16S ribosomal RNA". It matches the Rfam family "Bacterial small subunit ribosomal RNA", at positions 29 to 507 of the family's 1533-position model. The record is from RNAcentral.